AUACGGAGGGUGCAAGCGUUAUCCGGAAUCAUUGGGUUUAAAGGGUCCGCAGGCGGAUUAAUAAGUCAGUGGUGAAAUCCUCCCGCUCAACGAGAGAACUGCCAUUGAAACUGUUAGUCUUGAAUUCGGUCGAAGUAGGCGGAAUGUGUCAUGUAGCGGUGAAAUGCAUAGAUAUGACACAGAACACCGAUAGCGAAGGCAGCUUACUACACCUGGAUUGACGCUCAUGGACGAAAGCGUGGGGAGCGAACAGGAUUAGAAACCCUAGUAGUCC
Molecule: ribosomal RNA, 274 nt
Filed under: uncultured bacterium
Lineage: Bacteria
Description: partial 16S ribosomal RNA
Rfam family: Bacterial small subunit ribosomal RNA
Source: RNAcentral